Eucalyptus grandis is the source of this 432-nucleotide long non-coding RNA. RefSeq lists it as uncharacterized. The transcript is spliced from 3 exons. The record is from RefSeq and is a predicted model, not a curated record. Lineage: Eukaryota; Viridiplantae; Streptophyta; Magnoliopsida; Myrtales; Myrtaceae.
UACCUUUUGCAGGCGGAGUAGGUAUACUAGAGUCAAGAUCGAAUGCUGCCUCCCAAAGGAUCAACAGCCAGGCCAACCGCUCAAAUUACCAAACUCCUACUUCAGCAUUGUAUGAAGCUACAGAUGGUUCUGGAGUUGCUUCGGAUAGGAAUGGCGAGUCAGGUUCCACAGCAAGUGCAGAUCCUGUAGCAACUGAUGGAAUUUUACAUGAAAAAGGCUGCCCAGGAGGAGAGGAGGAGACAACCUAGACAAUCGAAAGACGAAAUGCCUCCACCUCCUUCUCUUCAAGGACCCGCCAAGAAAGGUCAUCACAUGGGCGACUUCAUUCCUCCAAAAGAGCUUGAAAGGUUUUUGGCUUCAUGUAAUGAUUGCCUCUGCCCAAAAGGGCCAUAAGCUCUUUGAUGAAUGACAAGUUUGUUUAUUAUAGCUGCA